Molecule: long non-coding RNA, 6200 nt
Organism: Girardinichthys multiradiatus
Lineage: Eukaryota; Metazoa; Chordata; Actinopteri; Cyprinodontiformes; Goodeidae
Exons: 6
Source: RefSeq, a predicted model, not a curated record
UCUGUGGUGCCCUGUGGUAGACUGGCGACCUGUUCAGGAUGUACUCUGCCUCUCCCGCACACUGACCGCUGGAGAUGAGCACCAACCUCCCAUACCCCAAUCACCUUGCAAGAAAUAGCACGUAUAGACAAUGGAUGAAUAAAUGGAUAAACACCAUGGAGAUCUUCAGACUUUCUACCAAUGUAGAGACGGGUUCUUUGCCUCAGAAAUAAGCGUGAUUUAUGGAAAAUAUGAAUAUCAAUGCUGGAAACAAACCAUUGAACAAGACACAAAGACCUUAUGAAGAUGCUGGCUGAAGCUGGCUAAGCUGCUAAGAGAGUGUCAUCCCCCUGUGAAAGAAGCCUGGUACCAAUAUGUGUUGAAAUGUUAUUCAGAGAGGUUAUUAAGAGAGCUGUUAUUCCAAGAUUAACAUAAAAAGCCAGAUUACUAUUUGUAAAAUGCUCUGAGACAUUUUUUUUUUAUUUCUGAAGACAUGCACUAUGAUCUCAUGAAAAUAUUAUUGAAGUGUUUGUCCAUAUUAAUUAUAAAUGAAAAAAGUGGGUUGCUUACAACUCUGAAAAUACAAUCCCAACUGUGGAGUACCAAGGUGGCAGCAUCAUACUGUGCGGGUGAUUUGAUGGAGGAGGCUUGUGCACAUCACAAAAAAUUAAAGAACAAUGAAUGUGUAAAUACUCUACCAACAUCUCAAGACAUCACCCAGGAAGUUAAAUCAUGUGUACAAAUUGACCCUAAUCAUGCCACCAAAUGAAUUACAAGGUAGUUUAAAGACAAUAAAGUCAAUAAAGUUGUUUUGGAGUGGCCAUCACUAGGCCCUGAUCUCAAUGCCAUGGAAAAUUUGAAGGCAGAGCAGAGAAGGGGAAAAGGUGUGUAGGUGCAAGGUUUUCAUUCUUUCAAUCAUAAUCCAAAGUUCAUGCCCAUAGGUGAGGGUAGGAACCUAGACAGACUGGUACAGCUUGAGCAUUACAGUGGCGACUGCACUGAUUUGUCUGUUGAUCUCCCACUCCCCUCACCUGUGAACAAGACCUGAGAUACUUGAACUCCUCCGCUUGAGGCAGGAACUCACCUCCAACCCAGAGAGGGGAAGCCACCCUUUUCCAGCCAAGAACCAUGGCCUUGGACUUGGAGGAGCUGAUCCUAAUCACGUCACCACUUCACACUCAGCUGCAAACCGCCCCAGUGCAUGCUCGAGGGAGCCAACAGGACCACGUCAUCUGCAAAACAUAUUUGUCCAUCAAAGUUAUGAACAGGACCAGUGACAAAGGGCAGCUCUGCUAGAGUCCAACGUGCACGGUAACAGGUCCAACUUAAUGCCGGCAAUACGAACCGAACUCCUGCUCCGCUUGUACAGAGGACCGGAUGGCCCCUAAUAAAAGGCCCCGGACUCCUUACUCCUGGAGCACACCCACAGGGCACAAGAAAAAAUGUAGGCAAUCCUGACUGAUUUAAUGGGAAAGGUUUUGUCUGAUUUAAUGUCAACUGGUGAGAAAGAAAAUCAUGUUUGUAAAAAAGAUUGUUUUAAAUUAGAUAAAGAUGUGGAUUUAGACUGCUGGAAUGAGCGACUUGAUUCUUUCUCAGCCAUUCUGUUACAGCCUUGAUACCGUGGUUAGGAUUACUAUUGUUUUAAAUUAUGAAUUAAAUUAAGCUUCUGUUGUUGAUUUAAUGACCAAGAAACAAGUGUUUCCUUCUUGUAUGCCAUGUAACCAGAUAUAAACCUUAGGCACUAACACUGCUUCCUUGCUGCCAGGAUGUCCUGUAUUUAAUUUUCAUUUGAAGUCUUGUGGUUUGUUCAGGUGUUUGUAGAGAAGAAAAGUCUUCUUCCUAGGAAUAUUUGCAAUUUAUUCAAAGGUGCUGAAACUUUUUCUGAAUGUAGAGUUAUCAUUUGAAAUUAGGCAAAUUAACUGAGGCCUUUAGGUCGGAUAUCAUUGGCUGAAGAAAUAAAAAAUACAUAAAUUAUUUUUUUCUCAUUUUUAUCAUGGUCAGAGACACCUGAAUGAUCCAAACCACAAAGUCAAAACUUCCAGCUGACUUCAAACCAACUCACACUAUUUGUAGAGCUCAAUAAUGUUAUUACAGAGCAAAUAUAACCUAGAACCAACAUGCUCAAACUCCCUGAUGAUUUAAUCUCAAUUUACUUCUAAGAACUUGGCUUAUUUAACUUUUGAAUGUUUUACAUACACUCAAAGGGUACAUUAAGAGUACAUUUCUGUCCCCUGAGGUACAGUCUGGACUUAUGUACCUCUAUAGGGGUAAUAAUUGGACUUUAGGGCACAUAUUUGUACUUUUUGAUGGUCUGAAAGAUACAUUUUUGUUCCAAAAUAGUAAAUGGUACAUAUUUGUACUCUUUAUUAAUAAUUUUAGGGUACACUUUCAGAAGAUGGACAACAAGGAAAGAAAAAAUGAUAAAACAAUGUAAUUUGAAGGUAACGGAUUCAAUAUAUAUUUUACAACAAAUGGCUAUAGUAGAGUAUUAGCAAAAAUUAAAUACCGUUAAGUGUAUUUGUGCGAUAAAAAAAAAUCUAACAUAUUUAAAUGCAGUUUGCAUUAUUCUAUUUCAUAUACUGUGAUUUUGCUCAUAUGUCACACUGGCAAAUGAGUAGUACAUGCUCCUAGAGGCGGAGCUUUUUUCCCAAAUUUAAUUUGAUUGGUUGAAUUAUCUGUCAAAUAUGUACAGCCAACACCGAUUGGCUGUCUUUUGAAUUUGACAAGCUAGACUGUCAAAAUCGAUUUUUUUACUGGUUUGUGGAGGUAGGCAAGCUAUGGCGUUUAUCGAUCUGUCAACCGAGGACCUAUUAUGAAAAAUUAAAGAAGAAGGCAUUGACGUGUCGGAAGCAGAAGCGCAGAGAUUCAGAGAUAAUGAUGUGGAUGGUGAUACAGUCGAUUGGAUCUUUCAAGGAUCUUUUCAAGGAUCUUUCAAGAAUCAACUGAAAUUUAAUCCGUUUUUGUCCAAGCAAAGGAGUCAACAAUAUCAAUUACUUUAGAACUUGUGCCUCCAGGAGAAUGGCAGCAAAGUACUUCUUCAGCAUCUUCCAGGUUCCAAAAGUCCUUUGUGAGGAUCCGUUUUCCAUUGAGGCUUCAUGUAAAGGUCCUACACAGCCAGUAUCAGAAGCUGCAACCAGACACAAAAAUCGUCAAAGACCGUAUGCAGCAGACCUUUUCAUGGCAGCGAAAGGAGAUUGCAGAUGGCAUGACUUUGGCGGAAACACUUGAGAAGUACCAUUUCUUAAGAACAUCAAGGGGUCUGUGUGAUGAAGUACAGCGUAUUCAUCCUGCAAUGGAAAACGUGCAACAACAAUUCAGUGAAGGCUUCGCCCGUAUUAUGCCUAAAGUGCUUCACCUGACACAAGGGAAGUCUCCUCUGUACCAGCUCUACCAGGAGGCAAGAAAGGAGGCUCUCACUGAAGAUGUACCAGAUAUUGACAGAAGAGCAGCCCUUUUUUUCUCCCAUACAUCUUCAGAGAGAACACUGAUCUCUUUAUCAUGCUUGGAGAGUGUGAUUCUCCAUCUCCAUACCCAACAAUUCACUUGACUAGCCAAGACUGGAAAAUGGCCUUUACAAAGAGAGCUACAACCAUUGUGAAAGCAGACGACGUUGUGGUUUGUCACACCCAAGCAGUUGAUGAAGGGAUCAUCUCAGCCUUCUGCACGUACUUUGUCUUCAACCUGGCAUACCCAAGACACCUGAAGAACACCCUAGUGUUCCUCCGAAGAUACAUUGCAAGAAUAGUUGAGGAUGGGGACCGGCCUCUACCAAUAACUGUCACCAGGAAAAUAAAUCUCCUCUAUUGACGCUAUGUCUCGUCCCAUGUCUGUGUGAAUUUGAAAGUUUGCCUGGAAAAAGUGUGGCAACUCCAUUUUUAUCUUUACCUGUUGAACUGCAGAAAGCCCUGUCAUUUAAUCACAAUCUUUGUAAUGUGGAUUUCACAAACAAAGUUUUUCAACACGUGUCUGAAUUAACGAUAGACAGUGUUAAGUAUGCCAUCAGAGAUGUUUUUAUUAUAGAUGUCCUGCAUUCAGAGGCUCUGCCACUAUUUUGGCAAAUAAAAUACAUCUUCAACAUUGACACCAUAUGGAUUCUUUGUGGGAAAAUGCUGAUCCCCUGUCGUUUGACCGCCACUUUGAUGCAUACAGAGUAAAAGUGGAUGCAGAAUGGUCUUUACUGAAAGCAGAAGAUGAAAUGGACUUUCAGGCAAAUGACACAUACUCUGUUGAUGACAUUUUGUAUGUUACAGUUCGAUAUUGUGUGCAAGUAUCUAAUGAAAUGAAAACUUGAAAUGUCAAAAUAGAAGAUAAAGUUUCAUUUUGUACAUUACCUGAGAUAAUGUGUGAGUGCGGUGGUUUGGGGUGGUUUUAUACAGUAAAAGUCAAUGAAAAGUAAAUUUUUUUUUUCACUUUUGUAAGAGGGUACAAGAUUGUCACCAAAGGUACAAUUCUAAUCUUACGAGGUACAGUCUAUAAGGGUACAAGUAAGUACCCACUGUUGAUGGUACAAUAGUGACAAGCCUUUGUACCCUUAAAGGUACAAUUAGGUACUUUUUUUUUCUGAGUGUAGGGCUCUGUUUCAUUUUUACACACUGCUUCUGUAUUUGGCUUAAGAAUGGCAAAGUGGGAAGAGUAGUGGUUUUGUAAUCUGAAAGCUGUGGGUUUGAUUCCAGCUUCCUCCUGCCACAUCUGCCCACUGGGCAAGGCACUUACCCUCAGGUUGCCUACCAAUCUGUUUCCUGGUGUGUGGACGUGUAUGUGAUUGGGUGAAUGUGGCUCUAGUGUUCAGUACAGAUGACAUGCUCUUUUGCUGUAUGUAUGGUGCUCAGUUGCAGUUUUGUUCUGAUGUAGAAACUUAAGUUUGAAAAACAACUUAGUUUUUUUUUUUUUUUUACCACACAUGCUUGCUUAUUAUAAAUUCAAAACCUCAGAGAUAAGACAUCAUCAUUACAUAGGAACAAUAAAGAAGAAUGCAGAAAUAGGGAAGACUGCUGACUUGACAGCAGACAGUGAUUAUUAAAGAAGCUGGCUGGCCACAGUGACAGUUGCGACAGUGGUGGUGGUUCGUCCUGUAACCGUUGGGUUGCUGGUUUGAACCCCUGCUUCAUCUGUCUCAGCUGUUGUGUCCUUGUCCUUGGGACGCCCAACCCACCUUGCCUGCUAGUGAUGGUCAGAGGGCUCGGAGGUGCCGAUUGUAUGGCAGCCUCACUUCUGUCAGUGUCCAUGGCAGCUGUGGCUACAGUGUAGCCUAUCACUGUCAGUGUGUGAAUGGGUGGAUGACUAGUGUAGUGCUUUGUGGUCUCUGGGGACUUGAUAACGCACUAUACAAUUGCAUGCCAUUUACCACAUAAAUUGAAAAUUAAGUGGAAGGACAAAAUGGGAGAGAAAAGACAUUCACAAGAACCAGAAAUGGGGGAACCACAGCCUUGACAGACUUGUGCAGCAAAGUCCAAACAGAGUUUGGGGAAGAUUCUAAAAGUACUAUUUUCAAAAUGAAAUUGAGUUUACAUAUCAUUUAGAAAUCUAUGUCCCAGUCUGGAGAAAGAGUAGGGAUACACAGACUCUAAAUUGUUUAAGGUCCGGUGUGAAGUGUCCGCAGUCAAUAUUGAUUUGGGGACACAUCUGCUAGUGUUGGUUCACAGUGUCAAGUCCAUCAUCAGCACAGCUGUCUUGCAGGAAAUGUUUGUGCAUGUCACUCUUGCUGAUAAGCUGAUAAAUGUAAUGGAGAUAUUGAUUUAAUUUUCGAUCAGGACUUGGCACCUGCCCACAAUAUCAAAAGUACCAACACCUGCUUAAAGGCCAUGGUAUUACUGUGCUUGAUUUGCCAGCAGACUGGCCUGACCUAAUCCCUAUAAAUAAUAUGGAGUAUUGUAAACAGAAGGUUGUGAGAUGCAGCAAUGAAGUCAACCAGAGCCUCUUUAAACUUGUAGAAGAGUGACUGGCUGAUCACCUCCAUCACAUCCAUACUGCUUUGAUUCAGUAAUUCAUGCAAAAGGAGCUCUGACCAAGUACUCAGUGCAUGUACAGUAUCAUACAUAGAUUAUAAUUUUCUGUGAAACUAAAUUUUUGGUUUUCAUUAGCUGUAAGCCAAUAAUCAUCAAAAUAACCAGGAAUGAAUGCUUUCAGUAUACCUGCCUGUGUAUAUAAUGUAUCUGUAUAACUCAAUUGUUUCACUUCUUUAAUAAAAUGGCUGAAAUAAAUUACCUUUUUUGCUGAUAUUC